This 13023-nucleotide long non-coding RNA is filed under the name Eucalyptus grandis. RNAcentral's name for it is "long non-coding RNA (EGRA_LNC006075)". Lineage: Eukaryota; Viridiplantae; Streptophyta; Magnoliopsida; Myrtales; Myrtaceae. The record is from RNAcentral.
UCUAAUUACAAUCAUCAUCAUUGUGUCAUCUUAACUCCAGUUCUGAUUUUGCUUUAUCUAUUGUGAGACUCCACUUAGGAAACAAAAACAGAAAACCUGUCUUAAAGGGCAGUUAUAUUUCUCGCUUUGCAAUUCCUUGGCAAGGCUUGCAUAUGUCUGUGCUCCUCUCAUGUUCUUGUCUUUUGCUAGUCACUCCUGCAGAAUUGGAUGAGCUUUUCUGAUAGAUCCUCCUCCCUCUCUCUCUCUCUCUCUCUCUCUCUCUCUCUCUCUCUCUAACACAAGCACGCACAUAAUGGCGGCCCACUAAGGAAUAAAAGUCAACAUCAAAACAGAAAAAGAGACAGAAGUCAUAUGUGCUGCAAGAUGGGAAGGUUUUGGGGAUGACCAUUUUUUCCUACGCUUGAAUUGAGUUUGUAAACGUGACUAGCACUUUGCUCCUGCUUAGUAGUAACCUUUUAUGGACACCAAGGUGAACUUUAUUUGGACUGGUUCGAUCAUCUUACUCACUUCUCCCUUCACUGAACAAUUUGAGUACGGCUCAUCACCGUCUCGUGAUUAAAAUUUUCUUUUUCCAGGGUAAGAUCUCUUGGCAUCUAAAUAAACCUGUGAUGUGGGCGCUUCCUAUGACAAAAAUAGAAGAUUCACCAUCACCUCCUCAACUUAUUUGAUUGAGUCUCUGUGAAGCGGGCACAAUGGCCAGUCUCUUAGGUGGGAACUUCAUAUCGGAGUCGUAAUUAGCGGUAACAACAUACGAUUUGGCAUGAUUUAUGUAAAAGUUCUCCAUUGACCGUUGAGUUCUACUUUUGUGAUCCAAUAGUGGCAAACGCCUCAAGGAACGGUUUCUCAAGAACCGUCGAUGCCCUCAUUUUCGGUCGGUACGCCUGCGAUUAACAUUGAGCAACUGUGUUUCCCGCACCCCCGACGACGUUUCCCCCAAUAGUUCUCUUUGCUCGUUUCUUACAUGGCCCUUGGCCUUUCUCCUUUCGACUUCUCUCUUUUGAAGCGCUUCUUUCGUUGUUCCUUCUUGUUCCAUCGUUCCUGUGUAUUCUCGUUGUUACCCGGAUUCCGCCCCUUCUAUAUGCAGCUGCAAGUCGGCAUAGUACCCAAUGCCCAUGACAAAGGCUAUCUAGUUACAUGGACAUAGGCAGUUCAAAAGACUAAAAUUGCUUACUCCUAACUCAUAAAAAUGGAGAGAAAAAACUGCGUAUGGGAUGAUUAGUUGAGGAUUUAAAAAGAAUAUAAAAGAAUCCUGGGCGGAUUGAGCAUACUAUAUGGUGAACAUGGAACAUAACCAAUCACAUAUAUGUACAAAGCAUAUAUGCAAUCAAUGUGGUAUGUCUUUUUGUGAGCUCUUAAGAUAUAUAUUUAAAAAAAAAAAACAGGAGGAGGAGGAGAAGAAGAAGAAGCGCUAUAAAGAUCUCUCUAAGUAAAAAUCUCAACAUAUAAUAGAGGACAUGGAGCCGCAAAAAAGCUGAUAGAUACCCCCACGAUUAUAUACCAAAUUAGUCCGACAGUGGCAUGUUCAAUUCUAGGUGAUUAAUUGACAGAAUGCCAAUGGGCCAACAAUACAUUAAGUAUCAUUUUUGGUUAGGCUUACUUUCUGUCCGAAUUGCCACAGAAAGCGAUUCAGAUGAGGACCAAACAUCUAACCAAAGAAUAUUUCAGCACGCGAUGCCAUUCCCAGCGAAACAAUCUCAGGCGAUGUGCAUACUUCAACAUAUAUCUUGAGACAUGAACGAUGGCUAUCGGUCAUUGGUUAUCAUCAGUGUAAAUGGUUUUGUCCAAAUUCAAUUGCGAGAUACGGACAAAAAUUGCCCAAGAACUUUAGUUGAAUAUAUAAUGCAGUCUCUCAACUUUUAAUUUAUUCAAUAUGACCUCCAAACUUCACUCCAAUAGGCAAUAUAGUUCCUAAACUUUUAAUUUAUUCAAUGUGAUCUUUAAACAUUUUGUGCAUGUUCAAUUUAGUUUCUAGGAACUAUAUGAAAAUGUUUUCAUCAAUGUGGUUAGCAAAUAAAUGGUUUUGUUCAAAUUCAAUUGCGAGAUAAGGACAAAAAAUUGUCUAUCAACUUUAGUUGAAUAUAUAACACAGUCCCUCAACUUUUAUGAUAAAUUUACCCCAAACUAAUUUAUUCGACCACAAAAACUCAAAACUGAUAAAUUUGUGACAAUUAUACCCUUCGGUAAAUUGAGCGUACUAUACGGUGAACGUGGAACAUAACCAAUCAUAUAUAUGUACAGAGCAUAUAUGCAAUCAGUGUGGUAUGUCUUUUUGUGAGCUCUUAAGAGAGCGAACUGCUUGAUUUGUUAUAUAUAUAUAAGAAGAAGAAGAAGAAGUUGGUAGAGGACAUGGAGCCGCAAAAAAGUUGAUAGAUACCCCCACGAUUAUAUACCAAAUUUGUCCGACAGUGGCAUGUUCAAUUCUAGGUGAUUAAUUGACAGAAUGCCAAUGGGCCAACAAUACAUUAAGUAUCAUUUUUGGUUAGGCUUACUUUCUGUCUGAAUUGCCACAGAAAGCGAUUCAGACAAGGACCAAACAUCUAACCAAAGAACAUUUCAACACGCGGUGCCAUUCCCAACGAAACAAUCUCAAGCGAUGUGCAUACUUCAACAUAUAUCUUGAGACACCACCGGCCAUGGUGGCUCCGUUGGGUAGGCUUCAGGCCUUUGAGGGAGAGGUCGGGAGUUCGAAACCCCUGCAACGAAAGUUACAGGGAGGCUAGUGGGCCAUUAGGUGAUUGACGCGUGGCGCCGGGAUGGUGAUCUCCCUGCUAGCGACACCUAGGGGUUCACGUCGCGGCUGUCAACCAAGGUGGUUCCUCCAACAUAAUAAAUAAAUAAAAAUAAAUAAAAAAAAAAACAUAUAUCUUGAGACAUGAACGAUGGCUAUCGGUCAUUGGUUAUCAUCAGUGUAAAUGGUUUUGUCCAAAUUCAAUUGCGAGAUACAGACAAAAAUUGUCAAUGAACUUUAGCUGAAUAUAUAAUGCAAUCUCUCAACUUUUAAUUUAUUCAAUAUGACCUCCAAACUUCACCCCAAUAAGCAAUGCAGUUCCUAAACUUUUAAUUUAUUCAAUGUGAUCUUUGAAUUUUUUGUGCAUGUUCAAUUUAGUUUCUAGGAACUAUAUGAAAAUAUUUUCAUCAAUGUGGUUAGCAGAUAAAUGAUUUUGUUCAAAUUCAAUUGCCAGAUAAGGACAAAAAUUGUCUAUCAACUUUAGCUGAAUAUACAACGCAGUCCCUCAACUUUUAAUUUAUUUAAUGUGAUUUCCAAACUUCACCCUAAUAGGUAAUAUAGUUUCUGAACUUUUAAUUUAUUCAAUGUGAUCUCUAAACUUUUUGUGCAUGUUCAAUUUAGUUUCAUAGUAUUUUUUUAUUAAUUUAAAUUUGGGAACAAUAUUGAAUAUUUUCAUAAAUUUGCAUUGGAGUGAAGUCGAAGUGAUUAUAUUAAAAAAAUUGAAAGUCGAGGCAUCUCAUUGAAAUUCAGAAAUCCUAUUGGGCUUCCUUGGGUGGGAUCGUGUGUUAAUUAGCUCCUGCCCCCACGGAGAUUGAGGUAUUUCUUUCCUCCUUGCACCGCCGCAUUCAUCGCACGUCUGUCAUAGACUCAUUACACGACCAUGUCGCACAAAUACUUCCCUCGUUUUGCCUUCUUGAAAGUAUUUGAUUUCACUGUCGUAGCUGAACCUCUUUUAGACAAAAAUCAGGUAUAUUCCGGGUCCCUGCCGACAUCCACGCAGCUGUUUCUUGCAUCAUCACCAUGGUCAAAUUGAUCUUGAACAUCGGAAAUUGAGAACCAACGUUGGGAGUUUUGUGCUCAAAUGUAAAGUUUCAGAUCCAAGCAUCGAUUCCUAAUUAUAUUUUAGAAAAGUUUUCUGUUCCUUUCAAUGAGGAAAUCAUCUUCUUAAAUUUAAGCUGAUAAGAAAAUAUUUUUCGUUAAUUCAUUUUCUUAAAUGAAACUACGUUUUCUACUGGACCAGAUCAGUCCCUCAAUGGGCAGGAGUAGGAAAGCGACCUAUUCUAUGAAGUCUUUCGUUAUAAACAAUACAAGAACAGCAUGCGGUUGGGACUUAAGAGAGAGCAACGAUGCAGCCACAGGAUUUGCAGUUGGAAUUAAUAAUUUGUUGGGGAGAUGGCAGCUACGGAACUAUUUGCAAGAGUUCCCGAAUGACCGUUGAGUUCUACUUUCGUGAUCCAACUGUUGCAAACCCCUCAAGGAACUGUUUCUCAAGAACUGUCGACGCCCUCCUUUUUGGUUGGUACGCCUGUGAUUAUCGUUGAGCAGCUGUGUUUCCCGCCGCCCCGGUGACGUUGCCCCCAAUGGUUCUCUUUGCUCGUUUCUUUCAUGGCGCUUCUUCCGUUGUUCUGUCCUGUUCCUUCGUUCCUGCAUAUUCCCGUUGUUACCUGGAUUCCACACCUUCUAUAUGCAGCUGCAAAUCGGCAUAGUACCCACUGCCCAUGACAAAGACUGUCUAGUUACAUGGGCAUAGGUAGUUCAAAAGACUAAAAUUGCUUGCUCCUAACUCAUAAAAAAAGGAGAGAAAAAACUGCAUAUGGGAUGAUUAGUUGAGAAUUUAAAAAGCAUACUAAAGAAUCCUGGAUGGAUUGAGCGUACUAUAUGGUGAACGUGGAACAUAACCAAUCAUAAAUAUAUAUGUACUAAGCAUAAAUGUAAUAAGUGUGAUAUGUCUUUUCGUGAGCUCUUAAGAGAGUGAACUGCUUGAUUUGUAAGGUGUAAAUUUAAUGUAAAAAAAAAAAAAAAAAAAGCCAUAAAGAUCUCUCUAACUAAAAAUCUCAACAUAUGAUAGCAGACACGGAGCCAUGAAAAAGUUGAUAGAUACCCCAGGAUUAUAUACCAAAUACUUAAUUCUAGGUGAUUAAUUGACAGGAUGCCAAUGAGCCAACAAUGCAUUAAAUAUCAUUUUUUGUUUGGUUUAAUACUUUCCGUCCGAAUUGCCACGUAAAGCGAUUGAGACAAGGACCAAACAUCUAACAAAAGAGUAUUUCAGCGCGCGGUGCCAUUCCCAGCGAGACGAUCUCAGGCGACGUGCAUACUUUAACAAAUAUCUUGACACGUGAAUAGUGGUUAUCGGCUCCUUUGUUAUCAUCAGUGUGGUUAGCAAAUAAAUGAUUUUGUCCAAAUUCAAUUGCCAGAUACGGACAAAAAUUAUUUAAGUAGCACCGACACUGAUACGCGACACGCGACACGACAAGACAAGACACGACGCGACACGACACAACAUAACGCGAUGCGACACGACACAACACGACUAGACACUCCGAUGCAUCUUUUUAAAAAAAAUAAAGAAUUUCAACAUAUUGUGACACGUUGUAUAUUAAAUAUAUAUUUUUAUAUAUUUACAUAAUAAAUUAUCAUUUGUAUGAUUAUUUCAAUCAAAUUAAUUUGAAUCAAAUUCAUAAAUAAAUAUAAUUAAAAACUCCUAGAAUAAAUAUGCACUAAGAAUAUUAAUCCGCAAUUUAUUAAUAUCAUUCAUUAUUUCAAUUUGACAAAUUCAAAUCUAUUUCAAUAAUUCAUAAAAUUUGGAGAAAAAACAAGCGAUCAAUAUUCUGGACUUGAAUGUUAGAUAUAUUGAAAGAUGAGAAAAAAACUUAAGGGGUGAAUUGUAUAUUACGGGAAGUUGGAGUCAGGAGAAAAGAGAAUACUAGGUUUUUAUUCUUUCUCCAUUUAUUAUUUUUAUUAUUGUGUUUUAUCUUUUGACAUAUAUAUUUUGACCUCUCAUUUAUUGAACUUUUAAAAUUGACUUUGAUAUUAAAAUCACGUAUCAAAAAUUCGUAUAGCAGAAUUCCAACUCGAAUGUCGGAAAGUGUCAAGAAAGUUGACCAAGUGUCGGAUUUUCGACACGUGUUGACCGAGCGUUCCAUAGUGUCGAACACGUGUCGACGUGUCCGACGCAACAUGAAGGCUCUUGGAGAGUGUUAGUUCUUCAUAGAAAAUUGCACAUCAACUUUAGCUAUAAAUAUAAUGCGGUCCCUCACUUUUAAUUUGUUCAAUGUGACCUCUAAACUUUACCCCAUUAUGUAAUGUAGUUCCCGAACUUUUAAUCUGUUCAAUAUGAUCUCUAGACUUUUUGUACAUAUUCAAUUUAGUUUUUAAACUAUACGAAAAUGUUCAAUAAUAUCCUUCUAUUAAUUUAAAUUCAGGGACAAUUUAUAAAGUGUACCAAAUUAAAAAUCCGCAUUGGAGUGAAGUCCAAGUGCUUAUAUUGAAAAAAUUGAAAAUCGAGGGAUUUCAUUAUAAAUUGAGUUAAAAUUCAGAUAUCGUUCUGUCAUUAUCCCUUUUAUUAUUAAAGCUUGACAUUGGGCUUCUUUGGGUGGGAUCGUGUAUUAAGUAGCUCCAGCCCCCGCGGAGACUGAGGCAUUUAUUUCCUCCUUGUACCGCCGCAUUCAUUGCACGUCUAUCAUUACACGACCAUGUCGCACAAAUGCUUCCUCGUUUUGCCUUCUUGAAUGUAUUUGAUUUCACUGUUUGUAAACGUGACUACCACUUUGCUCAUGCUUAGUAGUAACCUUUUAUGGACACCAAGGUGAACUUUAUUUGGACUGGUUCGAUCAUCUUACUCACUUCUCCCUUCACUGAACAAUUUGAGUACGGCUCAUCACCGUCUCCAGAUUAAAAUUUUCUUUUUACAGGGUAAGAUCUCUUGGCAUCUAACUAAACCUGUAAUGUGGGCGCUUCCUAUGACAAAAAUAAAAGAUUCACCAUCACCUCCUGAACUUAUUUGAUCGAGUCUGUGUGAAGCGGGCACAAUGGCCGGUCUCUUCAGUGGGAACUUCAUAUCGGAGUCGUGAUUAGCGGUAAUAACAUACGAUUUGUUAUGAUUUAUGCAAAAGUUCUCGAUUCACCGUUGAGUUCUACUUUCGUGAUCCAAUAGUUGCAAACGCCUCAAGGAACGGUUUCUCAAGAACCGUCGAUGCCCUCCUUUUCAGUCGGUACGCCUACGAUUAAUGUUGAGCAACUUAUGUCUAUUGGUACGCUUGCGAUUAAUGCUGAGCAACCUAUGUUGCAUGGACACAUUAACAUGCUUCCGUGUCAGAGCAACGUUGACACACUUGGAUACGCAUUGACCGCGUGUCAGAUUUAUUGACUAGCCAUGUCCGAAGUCGUUACCUUAACUGCAAGGAGGGGGAAACCGAAGGCAGGGCUAGUGACUAGAAUGAAGUCGUAACAAGGUAACUGGAUCGAGUUAUCGCUACCAUGGCCAAUAAUGUCCAAUAAUGUCCGGUUCUUCCGGCGGAUGCCUCGUCCCCACCGUAAUUAAAAGAGGGUACGAAUUGUUUUGGUCCAUGUAGCUGGGAAGACGAAUUAAAUAAGCGGUCGCUUUGCUUUUAUUUUCUGUUUUUACUUCUUUUGGUAAUUUGAUUGGCUUGUUAAUCAUAUGUUAUCCCACAUUAAGACUAGGAGGAGGGCCAAAAAAUUCAUCGAUGAUGAAAACGACGGGCGAUUAUAGAAUGGUGUCAAAAGCCCCGAUGUCCAUCGCAUUCGCUAACAUCUCGAUGGGUUGGACUUAUUGAUUGAUUUGCCGUUCCAAACUCUCAUAUAAUAUUAAAUUUGAUUGUGGUCAAGAUUUUCCCUAUGUUCAUAAAUGACUCCUUUUGGGAUGAAUCUAUUAUCCAUUCCAAGAUAUUCAUUUUUGCCCUUUGUUUGCUUCUCUUUUGGAAAUCUAAGAUUGACGUAUCCGUAACUACAUCCAAAAAAUAUAAAUGGUUCAAUAAGAGAUAAGUGCAUUUGAGAUUUUAGAACUUAUUGGAAAAAUGCAAUUGAAUCAUAAAAUUUGUCGAAUUGAUCCAACUAAAGUCUUUUCGUUGAUUGCAUUUUUGAGACUUCGAAAACUCAAUUAUACUCUCAUGAUAAAUUUUAAAUUGAUAAACUUUUACUAUACUUAUCCCGUUAAUCUAUUGUGUUUUCCCUGAUAGAAUCGAAGGAGCUUGUUUCGUUCUUUGCCCAAGAAAAGGUUCUCUGUCUCCAUCUGCUUUUCUUCUCGGGCAGGGAGAGGUAGGGACAAGUUUAGCAGGCAUUAAUGAAAUCGAAAUCGAAGUGACGAGAGUAUUUCCUUCUCCUCUCUUUCCCUAGCUCGCAGGGACUGUUAUGUGCAUGCAUGCCCGGACUAAGCAACGAGGGACGAUGAUUAACAUCGUUUCAAAGCCUCAAAUUCUUGCUCAGAUCUGAUAUUAAAACCUAAUACCAAUUACCGCUGUCGCCUAGCUACUCUGAAAGCUCUGGACAGUCGAUAAAUAGCUUCGUCUUCUCCAUGCUUACCUGAGGAAAAACCAAAGCAAGCUCUCUUUCUCUCUCUCUCUCUCUCUCUCUCUCUCUCUCUCUCUCUCUCUCUCUCUCUCUCUCUCGUUGUUGUGCUCUUCUUCCUCUCCUUCUCCUUCUCCUUUAUAUUCUUGUUGAGUUAGAGAGGUUGUGCUAGCGAGAACGUGCCCGUCGAGAAGAUGUCAAGCUUUAGGAAACCCUUUGGCUUAUCUUCUCCUUUAUAUGCGGUUAUCUUGGUCUCCCUUGCCCUCGUUGCUCGCGGGAGGCUCGCCUCCUCGGCACGGCCCAGGCCCUGGCCGCCCCUGCCGGCAUUCAUUGCGUUUGGCGACUCCAUCAUCGACCCCGGGAACAACAACAACAUACAGACGAUAGUCAAGUGCAACUUCCCACCGUACGGGCGGGAUUUCAUGGGGGGGAAACCGUCCGGGAGGUUCUCCAACGGGAAGAUCCCGCCGGACCUGUUCGGUAAUGUGCAUAAAAAUCCAUCUGCUUUGAACUAGUUUCAAAAGCGGGAAAAAUCGAUCACUUGAGUUCAUGUUAUUGUCAUCUUGAGGUGACCUGUGUGUUUUCACCUGUAGUGAUAGAUGCAUGACUUGUGCCAUUUCCCCCACCUUUGAACUCUUUUGCGUUGAUCUUUCAAGUGUAACCAUAGAUUAGUCAGGGCGAGGUAAGCUUGAGCCUCCAACAUGCGCUAUUUUAUUUCAUAAAAACAUCGACACUCAAUCCUAUGAAUGAACCCAAUAACUUUUUAAAGAGUGCGUUUGUUUCAUAAAAAAACUCCAUGAUAAAAAAGAAAAAAAAAAUGUACUUUUUAGUUUUCCUUUAUUUGGUGAUAUAUGAAUAAAAACAUUUUCGACACUUUUCGGGAAUAUGAUUAGUUUUCCUUUAUUUGGUAAUGUAUAAUCGAAAAUAUUUUAUGAUGUUUGGAUCUCAUUGGAUAAAGAUUUCGAUCUCAUGACUUUAUUUUAGGCCAAAAAAAUCGAAAUUUUUUAUUAAUGUUUUUAUUUGUAUAUAAAAAUCGAACUUUUAAUUACUUUUACUUUAUUUUCUUUAAAAGUUUGAAUUUUUAAUUUCUCUUCUUUUCUCUUUACUUUUUCCUUUUUCUUUUUUCUUUUUUUCUUUUUCCGACUUUCUCCGCUACAACCGACCAACGAUGGCCAUAGGCAAGCUUUAAGCUUACUUGGAUCUGGUGAGCCUUAACUUGUCGACUCGACUAGCUCAAGCUCACCUAGAUCAGCCAAGCCUUGAGCUUGCCAAUCGCGUCAUGGUCGGCUAGUGGAGGAAGAAGAAAAAUAAUAAUAAUAAUAAUAAUAAUAAUAAUAAUAAGUUUAAAAUAUUCAAAAAAAUUAUAAAAUGAAAAUAAAUCAAUUUAUUUUACCCAACAAAUUUAUUUUAAGAAGAAUAAUUUUUAUAAUUAAAUUUUCAUAAACCAAGGAUCCUAAAACUAGGAAAAUAUUUAGGAAAACAAUUUUUUUGGUUCUUUUAGAGGGGAAAUCAUUUUCUUAAAUUUAAGUUUUGAUAGAAAAACAUUUCUCAUUGAUUAAAAAAUUAUUUUUCGUUAACUCAUUUUCCUAACAAACCAAACACUAAAAAUUGAGGAAAAUGUUUUCCAUGAAUUGCUUUUUGCAAAACAACCGGACCCUAGUGAAAAACAAUGUGUUAUAAUAGACAUCAAAUUCUAAAUCUAUUAUAUUUGUGCCAAUUUAACAUAAACUUUUCAAUUAGAUCAAUUUAGACCUAGAUCUUUUCCGUUUGUGCCAAUUAAGUCUAUCGAGUCAAUUUCGACUGGAAAUUGCUAACAUAGAUGCCAGUCAUACCAUAUAACACGACCAACAUAAACAUGGAUAUUUUUUUUAUUUUUUAGAGUUCUUUUUUACUUUUCUUUUUCCUUUUUUUUCUUUUAUUUUCUUCUUUUCUUUCAUUCUUUAUUUUUCCCAACUAUGGGCUGGCAAGUUUGCCGACCGACCAUUGCCGAUCACAUAAGAGAACCAGCGACCCUCACCUGGUCUAGGCAAGGCAAGGGUCGUGAUGCCUUCUUUUGGUAUGAGAUUUCUCUAAGGUUGACAAAAAAUUGAAAAGGAGAAGAAAAGAAAAGAAGAUGUUUUUUUUUUUUAGUGGUACUAGUCCCUCUCCUUUCCAUCAAGAUGAUGUUUCUAUUUCCUAUGCCGAUUGAUGUUUGUGCAAAUUUGUUGCCGGUCUCUUUGGAGGUUUCUAAGUACGAUGUCUAUGCAAGUUUACGAGGUUUCGUCGUGUGAUUAAAAUACAAAACACCGCACAAUAAUGUGAUUUUUCUUUGUUGAUUUAUCCAAAUUCAAAAGAACGCCUUGCAAAAGAAAUUGCGAGGUACAAACACUUUUUUGACCUUUUACCAUAGCAAACGUUAUUAACCCGAUUUUACGAAUCUUGGAACAAAAUUUUCUCCAGUCGAAGCAUUUGGAAUUAAACAGUACUUGCCUGCUUAUUUGGACCCGAGUCUCAAAUUAGAAGACCUCCUCACCGGCGUCAGCUUCGCUUCCGGCGCCACCGGUUACGAUCCUCUCACUCCACAAAUCGCCGUAAGCUCUCGCUCCUCCCGAUCUGCUCUUAGAAUUCGACCCUCCUUUCUUUGUUUUCUUGGUAAUUCGGAAUUUAGGGAUUGUCUUAGGCUUGUGCGUCGGUAGGCGUCAAUACAUGUGAAAGAAUAAUCGUUAUGACUCCGAGGAGCGUCGGUGUGUGCUAGUGCGCGCGCUGUAUAAACACCGGGCCUCCUCACGAGUCGCUCGAGCUUUGUUUAGUUCAGCUCGAUCUUUUUGCAAUCAAAUGGAAUCACCUGAAAUUUCUUCCAUCAUAUGAUUAUUCCGGCAGUCGGCCUUGUCGCUAUCGGAUCAACUAAACUUGUUCAAGGAGUACGUGAACAAGAUAAAAUCAGGUGCCGGAGAAGAGAAGGCGUCGUACAUCAUCAAGAAUAGCCUCUACACGGUGGUGUGCGGGAGCGAUGACAUCGCAAACACUUACUACUCGACUCCAUUCAGGCGAGGGGAAUACGACAUACCGGCCUACACCGAUCUCAUGCUCAACUCGGCUUCAAGUUUCAUUCAGGUAAAGUCUUGAAAGAGAAACAUUCUUUACGAACAAUGACGACGACGAUGAUGAAGAAAGACCAAAAGACAUGAUAACAUAGGGAUUAAAUUGCAAGACAGAACUGAUUCUGAAGUACUGGUGUACGAUUUAGCAGGAGCUCUAUGGAUUAGGAGCAAGAAAAAUUGGCAUCCUGAGCAUACCACCGAUCGGAUGUGUGCCUGCACAGAGAACGCUUGAUGGAGGAUUAGAAAGAGCCUGUAAUGCGCCUGCCAAUCAAGCAGCAACCCUCUUCAACUCCAAGCUCAUCUCAGAAAUCGAAUCCCUCAAACAGAAGCUCCCUGGCUCUAAACUAGUCUAUUUGGACAUCUACCAUAAAUUGCUUUCCGUCAUCCAAAACCCUUCGCACUACGGUAACUCGCUGCGUUAUAUACUCUCUCUCUACACAAGAUUUUGGCUUUUGCAUUCGAAUCUCUAUCGUCAUGCCGUCGGUCAGCCUCAUGUUUGGGUCAUGUCGAUGCAUGUGUGCAGGAUUUGAAGUGGCGAAUAGAGGGUGCUGCGGCACGGGGAACAUAGAAGUGAGCAUACUGUGCAACCGUCUGGACGAUCUCGAGACAUGCCAAGAUGACUCGAAGUACGUCUUCUGGGACAGUUACCAUCCGACUGAAAAUACCUAUAAGAUCCUAACGGAUCACGUGAUCGACAAUUAUGCCGACCAGCUUUUAUGAGACCGCUCGGAUUUAUUAGUUGUUUACGGGUGAAUUGGAUUAGACAGUACACCUCGAAGUUUCCAUAAGGCCCCCCUGCUUCUUGUUGCAGAUUGAAGUUUCCAUAAGGUCCCCGGCCUCCUGUUAUGGAUUGUAACAGAGGCAGUAGAAUAUCGCACCUGUCUUCCAGCCAUCUUAUUUAUUUUGUUCGGCUCAACAAAAGUGUGAAACAUUGAACUCUUCAUUCAAAAUACUUUCAUUAUCGGAAAUAUGAUGGUACUUAAGCGAAUGUCUCCUUACCUUCAUGCUGCGGGUAAGUUGGGCACCUUGAAACUUUAGAGAGUGUCUGAGAUACUAUCUUAAGGUAUUCCAUCAAUUACUCCUCACAUGGUGGUCCUGCAGCUAAAAUAACAAUAAUUCAUUGUCCAAAACAGAAGAAAAAGAAGAGCAAAGCACAAAAAGCCUGCUCAAUAUUGUGAUUGAGACUAGGUGUAAAGAGAUGUAACAAGCUUUUCCAACCUGCCUGUAUCUCCCUUUGUCCUUUGGUAGUUCUACCGGUAAGCAGCUGCUUUUGUUGGAUCCUUCCUCAUCGCAACUAACAAGACCCGGUCCUCAGUGAGCAUCUGGCGCUAUGGGUACCCUUAUAUUGGUGUCAUGAUCUCUAAUUACAAUCAUCAUCAUUGUGUCAUCUUAACUCCAGUUCUGAUUUUGCUUUAUCUAUUGUGAGACUCCACUUAGGAAACAAAAACAGAAAACCUGUCUUAACGGGCAGUUAUAUUUCUCGCUUUGCAAUUCCUUGGCAAGGCUUGCAUAUGUCUGUGCUCCUCUCAUGUUCUUGUCUUUUGCUAGUCACUCCUGCAGAAUUGGAUGAGCUUUUCUGAUAGAUCCUCCUCCCUCUCUCUCUCUCUCUCUCUCUCUCUCUCUAACACAAGCACGCACAUAAUGGCGGCCCACUAAGGAGUAAAAGUCAACAUCAAAACAGAAAAAGAGACA